CUACGGGCUGCUCCAGUGAGGAAUAUUGGUCAAUGGACGCAAGUCUGAACCAGCCAUGCCGCGUGCAGGAUGACGGCCCUAUGGGUUGUAAACUGCUUUUAUACGGGAAGAAACCUUCGCACGUGUGCGGAGCUGACGGUACCGUAAGAAUAAGCACCGGCUAACUCCGUGCCAGCAGCCGCGGUAAUACGGAGGGUGCAAGCGUUAUCCGGAUUUAUUGGGUUUAAAGGGUGCGCAGGCGGAUUAGUAAGUCAGUGGUGAAAUCCCCCGGCUCAACCGGGGAACUGCCAUUGAUACUGCUAGUCUAGAGUUUAGUUGAAGUGGGCGGAAUGUAGCAUGUAGCGGUGAAAUGCAUAGAUAUGCUACAGAACACCGAUUGCGAAGGCAGCUCACUAAGCUAAAACUGACGCUCAGGCACGAAAGCGUGGGGAGCAAACAGGAUUAGAUACCCCCGUAGUC
This 459-nucleotide ribosomal RNA is filed under the name uncultured bacterium. RNAcentral describes it as "partial 16S ribosomal RNA". It matches the Rfam family "Bacterial small subunit ribosomal RNA", at positions 339 to 795 of the family's 1533-position model. The record is from RNAcentral.